GGGGCUGUCGGCUAGCCUGGUCUAGGCUGCCAGCCUUGGGCGCUGGCGAUCGCCGGUUCAAAUCCGGCCAGCCCCA
This 76-nucleotide transfer RNA is filed under the name Nitrososphaeria archaeon. Its description in RNAcentral is "tRNA-Pro". It matches the Rfam family "tRNA". From Rfam's summary of the family: Transfer RNA (tRNA) molecules are approximately 80 nucleotides in length. Their secondary structure includes four short double-helical elements and three loops (D, anti-codon, and T loops). Lineage: Archaea; Thermoproteati; Nitrososphaerota; Nitrososphaeria. RNAcentral also lists the same sequence under 2 other names. The record is from RNAcentral.